Molecule: ribosomal RNA, 496 nt
Filed under: uncultured bacterium
Lineage: Bacteria
Description: partial 16S ribosomal RNA
Rfam family: Bacterial small subunit ribosomal RNA
Source: RNAcentral
GAUGAACGCUGGCGGCGUGCCUAAUACAUGCAAGUCGAGCGAACAGACGAGGAGCUUGCUCCUCUGACGUUAGCGGCGGACGGGUGAGUAACACGUGGAUAACCUACCUAUAAGACUGGGAUAACUUCGGGAAACCGGAGCUAAUACCGGAUAAUAUAUUGAACCGCAUGGUUCAAUAGUGAAAGACGGUUUUGCUGGCACUUAUAGAUGGAUCCGCGCCUCAUUAUCUGGUUGGUAAGGUAACGGCUUACCACGGCAACGAUGCGUAGCCGACCUGAGGGGGGGAUGGGCGACACAGGGAGUGAGAGACGGUCCAGGCUCUGAGGGGAGGCAGAAGUAGGGAAGCUAGGGAAAUGGGCGAAAGCCUGACGGAGCAACGGAGGGCGAGUGAAGAAGGGCUGCGGGUGGGAAAACGCUGUUCUGAGGGAAGAACAAAUGCGUAAGUAACGAUGCGCGUCUGGAGGGAACGGAAGCAGAAAGCCACGGCAAACUACUG